RNAcentral lists this ribosomal RNA (447 nucleotides) under uncultured bacterium. RNAcentral's name for it is "partial 16S ribosomal RNA". It matches the Rfam family "Bacterial small subunit ribosomal RNA", at positions 355 to 816 of the family's 1533-position model. The record is from RNAcentral.
UGGGGAAUAUUGGACAAUGGGCGCAAGCCUGAUCCAGCAAUGCCGCGUGAGUGAUGAAGGCCUUAGGGUUGUAAAGCUCUUUCGCACGCGACGAUGAUGACGGUAGCGUGAGAAGAAGCCCCGGCUAACUUCGUGCCAGCAGCCGCGGUAAUACGAAGGGGGCUAGCGUUGUUCGGAAUUACUGGGCGUAAAGGGCGCGUAGGCGGCCUGUUUAGUCGAGAAGUGAAAGCCCCGGGCUCAACCUGGGAAUAGCUUUUGAUACUGGCAGGCUUGAGUUCCGGAGAGGAUGGUGGAAUUCCAGUGUAGAGGUGAAAUUCGUAGAUAUUGGGAAGAACACCGGUGGCGAAGGCGGCCAUCUGGACGGACACUGACGCUGAGGCGCGAAAGCGUGGGGAGCAAACAGGAAUUAGGAUACCCUGGUAGUCCACGCCCGUAAACGAUGAAUGC